UACGGAAGGCAGCAGUGGGGAAUAUUGCACAAUGGGCGCAAGCCUGAUGCAGCUAUGCCGCGUGUAUGAAGAAGGCCUUAGGGUUGUAAAGUACUUUCAUCGGGGAGGAAAAAACAAAAACUAAUAAUUUUAUUUUCUUGACGUUACCCGAAAAAGAAGCACCGGCUAACUCCGUGCCAGCAGCCGCGGUAAUACGAAGGGUGCUAGCGUUAAUCAGAAUUACUGGGCGUAAAGAGCACGUAGGUGGUUUUUUUAAGUUCAGAUGUGAAAUCCCUGGGCUUAACCUAGGAACUGCAUUUUGAAACUGAAAUACUAGAGUAUCGUAGAGGGAGGUAGAAUUCUAGGUGUAGCGGUGAAAUGCGUAGAUAUCUGGAGGAAUACCUGUGGCGAAAGCGGCCUCCUAAACGAAUACUGACACUGAGGUGCGAAAGCGUGGGGAGCAAACAGGGAUUAGAUACC
Molecule: ribosomal RNA, 459 nt
Filed under: uncultured bacterium
Lineage: Bacteria
Description: bacterial SSU rRNA
Rfam family: Bacterial small subunit ribosomal RNA
Source: RNAcentral